GUGCUCGUUUCGGCAGCACAUAUACUAAAGCUGGAACAAUACAGAGAAGAUUAGCAUGGCCCCUGCACAAGGAUGACAGGCAAAUUCGUGAUAUUGUCUGCCAUAGA
Small nuclear RNA from Sorex araneus (European shrew), 107 nucleotides. NCBI's taxonomy places the organism in Eukaryota, Metazoa, Chordata, Mammalia, Eulipotyphla, Soricidae. The record is from Ensembl.